UUGAUUACGUCCCUGCCCUUUGUACACACCGCCCGUCGCUGCCCGGGACUGAGCCGAUUCGAGAAAUCCGGGGAUCGCCGGUCUGAUGCCUUCGCGCGUCUCUCUGGUGAGAACCGGCUUAAUCGCAUCAGUUUGAACCGGGCAAAAGUCGUAACAAGGUUGCUGUAGGUGAACCUGCUGCAGGAUCAUUA
This 191-nucleotide ribosomal RNA is filed under the name Radopholus similis. RNAcentral describes it as "partial 18S ribosomal RNA". It matches the Rfam family "Eukaryotic small subunit ribosomal RNA", at positions 1641 to 1831 of the family's 1831-position model. Lineage: Eukaryota; Metazoa; Nematoda; Chromadorea; Rhabditida; Pratylenchidae. The record is from RNAcentral.